This 851-nucleotide long non-coding RNA is filed under the name Citrus sinensis (sweet orange). RNAcentral describes it as "long non-coding RNA (CSIN_LNC004206)". The record is from RNAcentral. Lineage: Eukaryota; Viridiplantae; Streptophyta; Magnoliopsida; Sapindales; Rutaceae.
AGAAAAUAAGCAGAGCAAAGAGCACAUGCACCAGCAUGAAGACAGAAGUCAAAACAAUUUCACAAAGACAAAACAAAGCCCCAAACCCAAUCAGCCGAUCCCCAAUCCCAAAUUCAAAACCUAACAGCCGUUAGUCAUCCUCCGCGCCAUACCAUGUCUAGCCGUCGUAGCCCACGACUUCGAUCCUCAAAUUCACAAUCUUACAAAACAAAAAACAAACCCUAACAACCACAUCCUCUCUUAUUUGGUUAUGCCACUUGAUUUGGCAGUCCCUCUACGUCGCUCUACGUUAGCUCAACUCGUCGUUGCAGCCAACAACUUCAGCUCACAACUCUCUCUCUCUCUCUCUCUCUCUCUCUCUCUCUCUUUCUUUAUUCAUCGUCGCAACCAACUAUUUUAGUUCAAGACUCUCUCUCAAAUUGCCAUCGUAGCCCACGACUUAGGUUUAGCCACUACUUCAUCUCCUUCUCCCAGCUUGCCAUUAGCUCUUCAUGCCUUCAUGGUAAAUCAGCUCUUCACAGCCUGUGUACAUACUCAGUAGUGUUUUCUUUAUUGUUGUAAUUUGUAUUUGAAUAUUAUGAAUUUAGUGUUUUGGAAACCCCGAAUAUUUCAAAUUGGUUGAUGUUUUUAUCCCGACGAAUUCAAAAUAAUGGGCAGUGCAAUACGCUAAUGGUUUUUGGAAGUUGAUGGAUCAUGAGAAGGAUGAUUCUUUGCCCUUUGCCAUUCUAUUUGUUUAUUUGUUGAGAAUUCUAGCUAUAACAUAAACCAUUAACCUUAUCUGAAUUAUUAGCCCGACUCGAUUUAUAAACCCAAUAACCCAAACCGUUUUGCAACCCAAAAUUAACAAAUUG